ACACGUAGGGGGCGAGCGUUGUUCGGAAUCAUUGGGCGUAAAGGGCGUGCAGGCGGUCCUGCAAGUCCGGCGUGAAAGACCCCGGCCCAACCGGGGGGACGCGCUGGAAACUGCAGGGCUUGAGUACAGGAGGGGAUGCCGGAAUUCCAGGUGUAGGGGGGAAAUCUGUAGAUAUCUGGAAGAACACCAAUGGCGAAGGCAGGCAUCUGGCCAUGUACUGACGCUGAGACGCGAAGGUGCGGGGAGCAAACAGGUUUAGAUACCCUGGUAGUCCGCACAGUAAACGAUGUGCACCAGGUGGCGGGGGGUCGACCCCCGGUACCGUAGCUAACGCAUUAAGUGCACCGCCUGGGGAGUAUGCUCGCAAGGGUGAAACUCAAAGGAAUUGACGGGG
Molecule: ribosomal RNA, 394 nt
Filed under: uncultured bacterium
Lineage: Bacteria
Description: partial 16S ribosomal RNA
Rfam family: Bacterial small subunit ribosomal RNA
Source: RNAcentral